RNAcentral lists this ribosomal RNA (641 nucleotides) under Kibdelosporangium sp. I12A-02918. Its description in RNAcentral is "bacterial SSU rRNA". It matches the Rfam family "Bacterial small subunit ribosomal RNA", at positions 97 to 752 of the family's 1533-position model. The record is from RNAcentral. Lineage: Bacteria; Bacillati; Actinomycetota; Actinomycetes; Pseudonocardiales; Pseudonocardiaceae.
GGCGAACGGGUGAGUAACACGUGGGUAAUCUGCCCUGCACUCUGGGAUAAGCCCGGGAAACUGGGUCUAAUACCGGAUACGACUGUCGUGCGCAUGCAUGGUGGUGGAAAGUUCCGGCGGUGCAGGAUGAGCCCGCGGCCUAUCAGCUUGUUGGUGGGGUGAUGGCCUACCAAGGCGACGACGGGUAGCCGGCCUGAGAGGGCGACCGGCCACACUGGGACUGAGACACGGCCCAGACUCCUACGGGAGGCAGCAGUGGGGAAUAUUGCGCAAUGGGCGAAAGCCUGACGCAGCGACGCCGCGUGAGGGAUGACGGCCUUCGGGUUGUAAACCUCUUUCGCCAGGGACGAAGCGAGAGUGACGGUACCUGGAGAAGAAGCACCGGCUAACUACGUGCCAGCAGCCGCGGUAAUACGUAGGGUGCGAGCGUUGUCCGGAAUUAUUGGGCGUAAAGAGCUCGUAGGCGGUUUGUUGCGUCGGCCGUGAAAACUUCACGCUUAACGUGGAGCUUGCGGUCGAUACGGGCAGACUUGAGUUCGGUAGGGGAGACUGGAAUUCCUGGUGUAGCGGUGAAAUGCGCAGAUAUCAGGAGGAACACCGGUGGCGAAGGCGGGUCUCUGGGCCGAUACUGACGCUGAGGA